CUCGUUUCUAUGGCAACAGGUCUGCUUUGUUCCUAAGCACCAUCUGGUAUUUUCAGGACAACCAGGCAGCUUCACUUUUCAGUCUGUUCUGGAUAGAGUGUCUUCUCCGAGGGUGUGCUGAAGUCAUCACCUCCAGAGCUACCAGAUGUGACCACAACUGGGAUAUUUGCAGUGUCUAUCUUUAAAUGGAACAGAUGCUGAAAACAUCUUUCCUCCCAUCUGGAGGUUUCAGAGACUGGAGAAGCUCACAAAGACAGAGAUGCUCAUCCUGACUCUGUUCUUCCCACCUGCUCCUGCACUACGGACAAGCUACCCAGCUCUCUCCGCCCAGUGUUGCACACAUUAAAAGCGCUGUUCUCACCUGG
This is a long non-coding RNA of Mus musculus (house mouse), 365 nucleotides long. RefSeq annotates it as predicted gene, 33306. The transcript has 3 exons. The record is from RefSeq and is a predicted model, not a curated record. Lineage: Eukaryota; Metazoa; Chordata; Mammalia; Rodentia; Muridae.